Molecule: ribosomal RNA, 491 nt
Filed under: uncultured bacterium
Lineage: Bacteria
Description: partial 16S ribosomal RNA
Rfam family: Bacterial small subunit ribosomal RNA
Source: RNAcentral
AGUGAACGCUGGCGGUAGGCCUAACACAUGCAAGUCGAACGGCAGCACAGUAAGAGCUUGCUCUUACGGGUGGCGAGUGGCGGACGGGUGAGGAAUACAUCGGAAUCUACUUUUUCGUGGGGGAUAACGUAGGGAAACUUACGCUAAUACCGCAUACGACCUACGGGUGAAAGCAGGGGAUCUUCGGACCUUGCGCGAUUGAAUGAGCCGAUGUCGGAUUAGCUAGUUGGCGGGGUAAAGGCCCACCAAGGCGACGAUCCGUAGCUGGUCUGAGAGGAUGAUCAGCCACACUGGAACUGAGACACGGUCCAGACUCCUACGGGAGGCAGCAGUGGGGAAUAUUGGACAGUGGGCGCAAGCCUGAUCCAGCCAUACCGCGUGGGUGAAGAAGGCCUUCGGGUUGUAAAGCCCUUUUGUUGGGAAGGAAAAGCAGCAGGUUAAUACCCCGCUGUUCUGACGGUACCCAAAGAAUAAGCACCGGCUAACUUCGU